GUUGACCGCUUCGAUCGGGGCCCAAACAUUGACGAAUUAAAGUGAUUUUCCUACCGUAGCCGUAUUUUACUAUACCGAUCACAUCCUAUUUCAUGAGAUUUUUGAAAAUUUUGCUUCCUUUAUAUAGUUGGCUCACAAAGUUGUACACUAGCAUAUAACCUACCAAACAAGUUAUACCACAUUAGUAAGCACGUUAUAAUUCCGAUGACUAAAAUUCACAAAAUGAAAAUUGACCGUAUGAUGUGAUCAUUAUAGUGAAACAUGACUAUGGUAUAAAAUUCAACUGGAUUCAACAAUGUUCGGGGCUCGAUCAAAGCGGUCAACCCUAAUUCAUAUUCACUUAUCACACGAAAACUAUCUUACCUACCUCUUUGUUACCUAGUUUGGUGGAUUCUUCAACACAAUAAAGUCUCACAUAGAUGAGAUUUAACCACCCAUGUAAAACUUUGAGGACAUUUACCACCCGAGGAUAGGGCUCUCCUUAGUGAAGCAUAAACGUAAAUAGGGUUGACCGCUUCGAUCGGGGCCCAAACAUUAGCAAAUUAAAGUAAUUUUUCUACCGUAGCCAUAUUUUACUAUACCGAUCACAUCCUAUUUCACAAGAUUUUUGAAAAUUUUGCUUCCUCUAUAUAGUUGGUUCACAAAGUUGUACACUAGUAUAUAACCUACCAAACAAGUUAUACCACAUUAGUAGGUACGUUGUGAUUCCAAUGACUAAAAUUCAGACGCAGUUGUGAAGUGGGUCCCGCCAGUGGUCCGUGACAUUUUUCGGUGAAUUUUUCCGACACUGGAGCUAUUUUCUAUGCAUUUUUAAAGUUUUGAAAUGGUGGAAAAAAAGUAAAACUUUAAUGACAUGGACAGAUUAGUGACUUAGGACAAAUGAGGUCGCAACAUGUGGCAAUUAGUGUUGAAUUUUCAGAAAAGGAAUCCCCCGAAAUAGAAACUUACCAUUCCUUUUAUAGUAGAUUUCCAUAAAUAGUAACUUUUGUUUUUAAAGUAUAACUAUCCCCCCAAAAUGGAAACUUACCCUUCCUUUUAUAGUUGAUUUUCAUAAAUAGUAACUUUUGUUUUUAGAGCAUAACUAUCCCCCCAAAAUGGAAACUUACCCUUCCUUUUAUAGUUGAUUUCCAUAAAUAGUAACUUUCAGAAAGUCUACUUUUGUCAUGUCAGUUAGCUCAUGUUAUUAUUAGACUUAACUCAUGUUAAUAGUAGACUUAACUCAUGUUAAUAGUAGACUUUACAUCUUAGAGUACUUGAUUCAACUUUGAAGAACAAUCUCAAGAACGAAUUUCCAAAAAGUCUACUUUUUUGUGAUUUUGUUCAUCCAAAU
This 1330-nucleotide long non-coding RNA is filed under the name Fragaria vesca (wild strawberry). RNAcentral's name for it is "long non-coding RNA (FVES_LNC000536)". Lineage: Eukaryota; Viridiplantae; Streptophyta; Magnoliopsida; Rosales; Rosaceae. The record is from RNAcentral.